This 427-nucleotide ribosomal RNA is filed under the name uncultured Methylophilaceae bacterium. RNAcentral's name for it is "bacterial SSU rRNA". It matches the Rfam family "Bacterial small subunit ribosomal RNA", at positions 355 to 774 of the family's 1533-position model. Lineage: Bacteria; Pseudomonadati; Pseudomonadota; Betaproteobacteria; Nitrosomonadales; Methylophilaceae. The record is from RNAcentral.
UGGGGAAUUUUGGACAAUGGGCGCAAGCCUGAUCCAGCCAUUCCGCGUGAGUGAAGAAGGCCUUCGGGUUGUAAAGCUCUUUCGCAAGGGAAGAAAACUUAGUCUCUAACAUAGACUGAGGUUGACGGUACCUUGAUAAGAAGCACCGGCUAACUACGUGCCAGCAGCCGCGGUAAUACGUAGGGUGCGAGCGUUAAUCGGAAUUACUGGGCGUAAAGCGUGCGCAGGCGGUUUUGUAAGUCAGAUGUGAAAUCCCCGAGCUCAACUUGGGAACUGCGUUUGAAACUACAAGACUAGAAUAUGUCAGAGGGGGGUAGAAUUCCACGUGUAGCAGUGAAAUGCGUAGAGAUGUGGAGGAAUACCAAUGGCGAAGGCAGCCCCCUGGGAUAAUAUUGACGCUCAUGCACGAAAGCGUGGGGAGCAAACA